Non-coding RNA from Pseudonaja textilis, 1455 nucleotides. Lineage: Eukaryota; Metazoa; Chordata; Lepidosauria; Squamata; Elapidae. The record is from RefSeq and is a predicted model, not a curated record.
CCUCCUCCGACGCCGCCACCGCUGCUCCUGGCGCGGGCAUUGCAUCGGCGGCCGCGUGGGCGCGAUGGGCGUGCGGCGCUGGCUGCUGUUGCUGUUGCUGCUGCUGCUGCUGCUGUGCCUGGCGCUCGGCUCGGCCUCCGGAGGUCCAGUCUCUGAAGCAAGUGAUGGGAAGGAGCUCCUGGAAGGACAGGACGUGAACAUGGCACACCCCAAAGUGGUCCGGAGUGUUGGGGGGCACCGGCACAAUGCCUGGCGGAGGUAUCGCCGUCCUCGCCCUCGUCUUUCACAUAAAGGACCCAUGCCUUUCUAGCACAGGAUGAAGGACUGCCUGGGAAUGACCCGCCCUGUUGUGUCCUCUCUGCUUGAUCGACUUUGCUUGCGAAGGGCUUCCAUCCAUGGCAGAGUUUGAACCAGAGCUGCCUGACCCGGGAAGCCCCAAGAGCGGGAGGGAAAGAGCCUGCGGAUCCAGCAUUUCCACCUUCUAUGGUCUCAUGGUGCCUCCUGCUCCAGCUGGUGACACUUCUGUGGCUCUCUCUCUCUCUCUCUCUCUCUCUUCCCACCAGCAGGCAAAGCUGAAAAGGAUGCAAGGAGGACCCAGAAGGUGGCUCUGAGUGUAGACAGGAAGGAAGGAAGGAAGGAAGGAAGGAAGGAAGGAAGGAAGGAAGGAAAGGAAGGAAAGAAGGAAGGAAGGAAGGAAGGAAGGAAGGAAGGAAGGCGUAGCAUCGGCUCUCUGCCUCUUGGCCACGGAAGCUAAGUGGCGGCUGAGAGAACACCCUCAUGUCCCCUCCUAGCUGGUUGCAAGGCCUUCUUCCACCAGUGGCGCCCUUGGAGUCCAAGGUCGUUUGGCCAGUGAAAAGCACUUUUGAUAGCUCAUCAGCAGCCCCUCCCAGGCCCCCCCUGACCUGCCCCCUUUUGCAUUCCUCCCAUCACAGCAUUCCCAAGAGCAGAGUUUCCACAACAGCCCCCAAUGCGUUCAACCCCGACGGCUGUAUCACCCUUUAGAUGCUUAAGCUGAGCUGCUACGUUUCUGUCUGCCCCGCAAGACUUAGGAGACCCGCUGGCAGCGGGUGGGUGGGAAAUGAGAACAGACCACAAUUGGGGUGUGCUGCAUCCUCCUGCCCUUGACCUUCUGCGGGACAUCUUGAGAGCCUCCAAUCUAGCCUUUUUCAGGGUGAAACAGACUUAGGGACUUCCUGCCCAGCGUCUCUUUAAACAAAACAAACAAACAAAACCCACGUGCUACUUUCUAAAACGUCUUCCCUGCACAAGAUCAUCCGUCCUUUUCCCCACCUCCCCAAAAAACCUAAGUUUUGCCCAACUUAGAUGGGCCCCGUUUCUUAUAGUCUUCUCCACCCUUACAGGAACCAGGCCUGGCUAAUUUAGGGAAGAGAUGGACCAGGGGAGACAGGAGAGCAGUGUUCCAAUAUUUGAGGGGUGCCACAGAGAGGAGGAAGG